Molecule: ribosomal RNA, 466 nt
Filed under: uncultured bacterium
Lineage: Bacteria
Description: bacterial SSU rRNA
Rfam family: Bacterial small subunit ribosomal RNA
Source: RNAcentral
UCCAGACUCCUACGGGAGGCAGCAGUGAGGAAUAUUGGUCAAUGGGCGGAAGCCUGAACCAGCCAAGUCGCGUGAGGGAAGAAGGCCCUGCGGGUCGCAGACCUCUUUGGACGGGGAGCAAGGCCGCCGACGUGUCGGCGGAAGGAGAGUACCCGUAGAACAAGCAUCGGCUAACUACGUGCCAGCAGCCGCGGUAAUACGUAGGGAGCGAGCGUUGUCCGGAAUUACUGGGUGUAAAGGGAGCGUAGGCGGGGAUGCAAGUUGGAUGUUUAAACUAUCGGCUCAACCGGUAAUUGCAACCAAAACUGCAACUCUUGAGUGAAGUAGAGGCAGGCGGAAUUCCUAGUGUAGCGGUGAAAUGCGUAGAUAUUAGGAGGAACACCAGUGGCGAAGGCGGCCUGCUGGGCUUUAACUGACGCUGAGGCUCGAAAGCGUGGGUAGCAAACAGGAUUAGAUACCCGCGUAU